GGAGGGAUGGUCGAGUGGUUAAAGGCAGCAGACUGUAAAUCUGCCGACGGUUUCGUCUACGUAGGUUCGAAUCCUACUCCCUCCA
RNAcentral lists this transfer RNA (85 nucleotides) under Candidatus Cytomitobacter primus. It matches the Rfam family "tRNA". From Rfam's summary of the family: Transfer RNA (tRNA) molecules are approximately 80 nucleotides in length. Their secondary structure includes four short double-helical elements and three loops (D, anti-codon, and T loops). Lineage: Bacteria; Pseudomonadati; Pseudomonadota; Alphaproteobacteria; Holosporales; Holosporaceae. The record is from Rfam by way of RNAcentral.